RNAcentral lists this microRNA precursor (94 nucleotides) under Glossina austeni. RNAcentral describes it as "microRNA mir-449". The stretch from base 9 to 85 matches the Rfam family "mir-34 microRNA precursor family". Rfam says of the family: Human mir-34a was discovered computationally and later experimentally verified. The mature sequence is excised from the 5' arm of the hairpin. RNAcentral also lists the same sequence under 1 other name. The record is from RNAcentral. Lineage: Eukaryota; Metazoa; Arthropoda; Insecta; Diptera; Glossinidae.
UUCGGCUAAGCGCUUUGGCAGUGUGGUUAGCUGGUUGUGUAAUUUUAUUUAAAAUCACAGCCACUAUCUUCACUGCCGCCGCGAUAAGCUGUAU